Molecule: non-coding RNA, 639 nt
Organism: Benincasa hispida (wax gourd)
Lineage: Eukaryota; Viridiplantae; Streptophyta; Magnoliopsida; Cucurbitales; Cucurbitaceae
Source: RefSeq, a predicted model, not a curated record
UAUUAAAUAGACAAUGAGUUUGAAUAAAAUAUCAUAUAUUUUAUUAAAUACACAACGAGUUUGUUCAAUAAUGUUUACAAACUAUAAGACCUUACGAGAUUUAGGGCAUUAACCCCAACACUUUUCAUAUGAGUCUAAACCAGGAUUGGUUUCAACACUUCAAGGAGAUUAAUAGGGGAAGGUUCUUCUAGAAAAUUAUCAAGAAUGCAGUGUUGAAGGAAUUGGAACAGUUCUAGUGAAGAUAAUUGAUGGACAGAUCAAGGAGCUCACUUUAGUAAGGUAGUCAAUCACGAUUUCAAUCUUAGUCCAAGCUCGAACUGAUCCUCAAAUUUUUAGACCUUGAAUUGAUUUCCAUCAAAUUGCUCCAUGAACACCACGUCGGGGUCAAAAUUUCAAGGACGAUUAUCAAUCUCUCCUUAUUGUAUAAAUCCUUGUAGUGUUGAGGGUGAAGAGAGAAGAGAAAAGGUAGCAACGGUCGAAGAGGAAAGCAAUGAAUGAUAAUGGAAAUCCUCAUCAAUUGUGAGGAAAAAGAAGGCGGGAAGCAUAAAAGAAAUGAGAAUGAUAAGUCUCCCCUAGAAUAAAUCAAUUGAAAUUUGUAUGUUUGUCUACUCAUCAAUAGACAAUUAAUAACUUAACUUC